UACGUAGGGACCAAGCGUUGUUCGGAUUUACUGGGCGUAAAGGGCGCGUAGGCGGUAUGACAAGUCACUUGUGAAAUCUCCGGGCUUAACUCGGAACGGCCAAGUGAAACUGUCAAACUAGAGUGCGGAAGGGGCAAUCGGAAUUCUCGGUGUAGCGGUGAAAUGCGUAGAUAUCGAGAGGAACACCUGCGGCGAAGGCGGGUUGCUGGGCUGACACUGACGCUGAUGCGCGAAAGCUAGGGGAGCGAACGGG
This 253-nucleotide ribosomal RNA is filed under the name uncultured prokaryote. RNAcentral describes it as "partial 16S ribosomal RNA". It matches the Rfam family "Bacterial small subunit ribosomal RNA", at positions 524 to 776 of the family's 1533-position model. The record is from RNAcentral.